Aegilops tauschii subsp. strangulata is the source of this 5729-nucleotide RNA transcript. It is a transcript of the gene named ABC transporter C family member 10, with no coding region annotated. The record is from RefSeq and is a predicted model, not a curated record. NCBI's taxonomy places the organism in Eukaryota, Viridiplantae, Streptophyta, Magnoliopsida, Poales, Poaceae.
UUUCCGACCCAAGAGAUGCCCCCAACAAUUUGUACUACCGCCUGCUUAAACAGAUUCUUUGAGCGCCGAGCUCUGCGCAGCCUACCUCUUGGACGGCCCGUCGGUCCGUUUCUUCCUUCGUCAAGCUCACUUCCGAGCGGCAGUCUGCUAGAGAGGUGAACCCUUUCUGCUAGAGGGGUAACACUUUGCACCAUUGCUUGUUUCCUCCAGGAAAAUACGACUAGUUUUCUCUGCCGGUCGACGAUCACUGACGAUUAGUAGCUUCCCCUUUGGAUUUUGUGUGUGACUCCUUUUUUGUUCCCAGCGAGCACUGAGAUGAGAUUCCUGUGUGUCCCUCCCUUCCCCUAGUAGUCCUAGAAUGAUUUCAUCCCAUUUGGACUCCACGAUGUUGCUCCAGGCAGAAACGGGAGCUACUGAUCCACCUCCAACCACCACCAGACGGGGAUGGGUUCCCUCACAAGUUCUUCCUGGGUGACGAGCUUGUGUGGGAGCCCGAUAUGCUCCGGCCAAGACGCCACCUCAUGCGCUUUGAAGCAAAUGUUCGACUCCUCCACCUGCACCAACCAUCUGGUGGCCACCGGCAUCGCCGCGCUGCUCGUGCUCGCGCUCGCACUCCAGGUGCUUGUGAAAAUUCCGCACAGCAGAGCGUCUGCGCGGCAGCUCGUCACGCUCGGCUCACCGCUGCACCUCUCUGCCGUGGUGUUCACCGGCUGCUUGGGUUUGGUUUAUCUUGGGCUAGGACUCUGGAUGCUGGGGAGUGACUUCAGUCAGGAUGCCUCUGUUGUUCACCUUCCACAUUGGUGGCUUGUGACGUCAUCUCAGGGUCUGAAUCUGAUCCUUACCAGCUUGGCUUUCAGCAUCAGGCCUCGCUUUCUUGGCGCAGGAUUCGUCAGGUCUUGGCCGGUCUUGCUGACCGUCUAUGCAGCAUUCGUUUGUUGCUCUUCAGUUGUUGUUAUUGUUGCAGAGAAGAUGAUCACCGUCAAGGGCUGUUUGGAUGUUCUGUACUUUCCAGGUGCAGUGGUCCUCCUCAUUUAUGGCAUUCGGCACAGCCAUGACGAAGAGGGCUAUGGAGAAAGUGGCAAUGGUUUAUACAAGCCCCUCAACACGGACACAGACGGUGAGGCAGCUGAUUCUGAGGCUCAUCAGGUCACUCCCUUUGCUACUGCUGGUUUUUUCAGUGAGAUGUCGUUUUGGUGGUUGAAUCCUCUGAUGAAGAAGGGCUAUGAGAAUCCCCUUGAGGACAAAGACAUGCUUCUUUUAGGCGCCACAGAUCGAGCGCAAAACCAGUACUCGAUGCUCAUGGAGAAGCUGAAUUGCAGGAAGCAGUCGCCGGCGCACGCCACACCAUCAUUCUUCUGGACUAUUGUUUCUUGUCACAAGCGUGCCGUCGUGGUCUCGGGUUUCUUUGCUUUGCUCAAGGUUCUCACCUUAUCCACUGGCCCAGUAAUUCUCAAGGCAUUCAUCAAUGUAUCACUUGGGAAAGGGACCUUUAAAUACGAAAGCUAUGCGCUGGCUGCAUUAUUGUUCGUCUGCAAAUGCUGUGAAUCAUUGUCGGAGAGACAGUGGUAUUUCCGCACUCGGAGAUUAGGACUGCAGGUGAGGUCACUCCUGUCAGCAGCUAUUUAUAAGAAACAACAGAAGCUAUCAAACUCCGCAAAAAUGAAGCACUCUUCUGGACAAAUUAUGAACUAUGUGACCGUCGAUGCCUAUCGGAUUGGGGAAUUCCCAUAUUGGUUCCAUCAAACAUGGACAACAAUUGUUCAGCUUUGCAUUGCUCUGGCAAUUCUAUACAAUGCGGUUGGUGCUGCAAUGAUUUCAUCAUUGGUUGUCAUCAUUCUCACUGUACUCUGCAAUGCUCCACUGGCCAGAUUCCAACACAAAUUUCAGAGUAAACUUAUGGAAGCACAAGAUGUGAGAUUGAAGGCCAUGUCUGAGUCACUAGUUCAUAUGAAGGUCUUGAAACUUUAUGCAUGGGAAGGCCACUUCAAGAAGGUCAUCGAGGGGUUGAGGGAAGUUGAGUACAAGUGGUUGUCAGCAUUCCAGCUUUGGAGGGCAUACAACAGUUUCUUGUUCUGGGCUUCUCCUGCUUUGGUUUCUGUGGCAACCUUUGUAACAUGCUAUCUUUUGAAAAUCCCUCUUGAUGCUAGCAAUGUAUUCACCUUUGUGGCAACUCUACGUCUCGUGCAAGACCCAGUUAGGACGAUACCGGAUGUUAUUGCUGUUGUGAUACAAGCUAAGGUUGCUUUCACUCGGAUAUCAAAGUUCCUUGAUGCACCUGAGCUAAACGAGCAAGUUAGGAAGAAAUAUUAUGGUGGCAUUGAUUACCCUAUAGCGAUGAAUUCGUGUAGCUUCUCGUGGGAUGAGAAUACAUCAAAACAAACUCUAAAGAAUAUAAAUCUCGCAGUCAAAGCUGGAGAAAAGGUUGCAAUUUGUGGAGAGGUUGGAUCAGGAAAGUCGACACUUUUGGCGGCUGUACUCGGAGAGGUCCCCAAAACUGAAGGCACGAUCCAAGUCUGUGGGAAAAUAGCAUAUAUUUCUCAGAAUGCAUGGAUCCAAACAGGAACUGUGCAAGACAAUAUUCUCUUUGGAUCGUCGAUGGACAAGCAAAGAUACCACAACACACUUGCGAGGUGCUCAUUGGUCAAGGACCUUGAAUUGUUGCCAUAUGGAGAUUGUACUCAAAUUGGAGAGAGAGGAGUAAAUCUUAGUGGUGGUCAGAAGCAGCGCGUCCAGCUUGCUCGUGCACUAUACCAAAAUGCAGACAUCUAUCUUCUUGAUGACCCUUUCAGUGCUGUUGAUGCCCAUACAGCCACAAGUCUCUUCAAUGAAUAUGUCAUGAGUGCCCUAUCAGACAAGACCGUUCUUCUGGUGACUCACCAAGUGGAUUUUCUACCUGUAUUUGACUCCAUUUUGUUAAUGUCAGAUGGACAGGUUAUUCGGUCUGCACCUUAUCAAGAUCUAUUGGCAGAUUGUGAAGAAUUUAAAGACCUUGUAAAUGCCCAUAAAGAUACUAUGGGUGUUUCGCAUCGUAAGAACAACAUACCCCAUCAAAGAUCUAAGGAAGUAUCAAUAAAGGAGACAGAUGGUAUUCAUGGAAGUAGAUAUACAGAGUCUGUGAAGCUAUCACCGGCAUAUCAACUAAUCAAGAAAGAGGAAAGAGAAACUGGGGAUGCAGUUUUCAAGUCUUAUAUGCUUUACCUGCGCCAGAAGAAAGGCUUCCUGUAUUUCUUCUUGUGUAUGAUUUCUCACAUAAUUUUCGUAGCUGGGCAGAUACUACAGAAUUCAUGGAUGGCUGCUAAUGUCCAAAAUCCUCAUGUUAGCACACUGAAGUUUAUUUCUGUGUACAUUAUUAUCGGAGCUUGCACAAUGAUCUUCUUGCUAUCAAGAUCUUUAACAGUCGUUGCUCUUGGGAUCCAGUCAUCAAGAUCCUUAUUUUCCCAGCUACUCAAUUCAUUGUUCCGUGCACCAAUGUCCUUUUUUGAUUCUACACCUCUAGGAAGGGUUCUUAGCCGGGUCUCUUCAGAUUUGAGUAUCGUUGACCUUGAUAUUCCAUUUGCAUUAGUGGUUAGCCUUGGUACCAGCUUAAAUGCAUGUAGCAAUCUAGGGGUAUUGGCUGUUGUUACAUGGCAAGUUCUGUUUGUAUCCGUGCCAAUGAUAGUUUUGGCAAUUAAGUUGCAGAGGUACUAUCUAGCAUCGGCCAAGGAAUUAAUGCGGAUCAAUGGUACUACAAAGUCUGCCCUAGCGAGUCACUUAGGUGAAUCGAUUGCAGGGGCUAUAACGAUAAGGGCCUUUGAGGGAGAAGGUCGUUUCUUUGCUAAAAAUUUGGAUCUUGUUGACAAGAAUGCCAGCCCAUAUUUCUGUAAUUUUGCAGCAACUGAAUGGUUGAUUCAACGUAUAGAAAUAAUGAGCGCCGUAGUUCUUUCUUCUUCCGCCUUUGUCAUGGCUCUUCUUCCUCAAGAAACUUUUAGCCCUGGUUUUGUGGGAAUGGCAUUGUCCUAUGGUCUUUCGCUAAAUACAUCAUUUGUUUCCUUUACUCAAAGCCAGUGCAACCUUGGGAAUCAAAUAAUCUCGGUGGAACGGGUGAGCCAAUACAUGGACAUACCAAGUCAAGCAGCAGAAGUCAUUGAAGACAAUCGACCAUUACCAGAUUGGCCCCAAAAUGGCAAUGUGGAGAUUAGGCAUUUGAAGAUCAGGUAUAGGAUAGAUGCUCCCCUUGUACUACAUGGAAUCACUUGCAAUUUUGAAGGUGGAGAUAAGAUUGGUAUAGUUGGUCGAACAGGAAGUGGCAAGACAACGUUAAUUGGUGCAUUGUUUCGCCUUGUUGAACCUGAUGAAGGGAAAAUAUUUAUAGACUCUGUGGAUAUCAGUAUGAUAGGCUUACAUGAUCUGCGGUCGCGUUUGGGUAUCAUUCCACAAGAUCCAACACUUUUUCAGGGUACAAUAAGAUACAAUCUAGAUCCUCUUGGGCAAUUCUCAGAUGAAAAAAUAUGGGAGGUUCUUGCCAAAUGUCAACUUCUUGAAGCUGUCCAGGAGAAGGAACAGGGACUGGAUUCACAUGUUGUGGAAAGUGGGUCAAACUGGAGCAUGGGCCAAAGGCAGCUCUUCUGCCUGGGACGCGCACUUCUGAGAAGGUGUCGUAUCUUAGUUCUUGAUGAAGCCACAGCGUCUAUAGACAAUGCAACAGAUGUUCUCCUUCAGAAGACGAUCCGGACAGAAUUCAAAUAUUGCACUGUUAUUACAGUUGCCCACCGUAUACCAACAGUUAUGGACUGCGAUAUGGUACUUGCAAUGAGCGACGGGAAAGUAGUGGAGUUUGACAAACCUGCAAAGCUCAUGGAAACUGAAGGGUCUCUCUUCCGCGAGCUGGUCAAGGAGUAUUGGUCAUACACUUCGAACACAAAUAUCUAGAAGAGAUUAUCUCGAAGUAUUGGGCUAUCUCUUGCUACAACAAAUUCUAUGCAGUAUCAUGGUGGGCCAUCGCUGCCCUUUGGAAUUGAUGAAGCAGGCAUUCGAAAGAAACCAGAGCUGGCAAGCAGCGCAGCUCCUCUGUCAAAUCUAACCGCGCUUCCUUACUGAAACACUACCUCACUUCAUGGCCUGCUGGAUUCGCCGAGGUGGGAAAUCAGCCGAUCAAUUGCAGUCACUGACAUGUUGUUUAGUAGCUGUUCCUCUAGUACAUUAUCUGCAGAGACAACUACUGCUUCAGCAAUCUGAGCCGAGAUGUUUGAAAGAGAACCAUUGGUGCUGUACAUUAACAACACAAGAGCUUUCAUCCGGAAGCAAUUAGGUCCUUCAGUUAUUGUCUUGAAAUUUCUUUAGCGAUCUAACCGUCGCUGCACUUUGGAGUUGCUGAAGCUAAACGGAGUAAAUUCCUGAAGAUUUCCUUGCUCCAAUAAAUGGGAGGGACUUCAGAUCUGCAAUCCUGCUGACCAUACUGAUUUGUAUGGUUAAAUGGAAUUGCUUUUGUGGUUAAGAACUGCCAAUUUAUAUUGCGAUGUAAGGUUUGUUUGUACACUGUAUUUUCUUUUACUUUCUUUUAGCUUUCUCUAAACCUUGGAACGCUACAUGUUGUGUUUUCAUUAAUCCAAUGGAACCAUGGAGCGCCUCCCUGAUAAUCUAAAAAAAACAUGAUCUGUUUGAGAUAGGAACUGGGGGCGGUAGUAUAGAUGGGGAUCCAAUACGUUCCCAGUGUGCUGCUGUUUAAUUUAUGGCUAUGAGGAAAGUUUCAA